RNAcentral lists this ribosomal RNA (474 nucleotides) under uncultured bacterium. RNAcentral describes it as "bacterial SSU rRNA". It matches the Rfam family "Bacterial small subunit ribosomal RNA", at positions 8 to 507 of the family's 1533-position model. The record is from RNAcentral.
AGAGUUUGAUCCUGGCUCAGGAUGAACGCUGGCGGCGUGCCUAACACAUGCAAGUCGAGCGAUUCUCUUCGGAGAAGAGCGGCGGACGGGUGAGUAACGCGUGGGUAACCUGCCCUGUACACACGGAUAACAUACCGAAAGGUAUGCUAAUACGAGAUAAUAUACUUUUAUCGCAUGGUAGAAGUAUCAAAAGCUCCGGCGGUACAGGAUGGACCCGCGUCUGAUUAGCUAGUUGGUAAGGUAACGGCUUACCAAGGCGACGAUCAGUAGCCGACCUGAGAGGGUGAUCGGCCACAUUGGAACUGAGACACGGUCCAAACUCCUACGGGAGGCAGCAGGUGGGGAAUAUUGCACAAGUGGGCGAAAGCCUGAUGCAGCAACGCCGCGUGAGCGAUGAAGGCCUUCGGGUCGUAAAGCUCUGUCCUCAAGGAAGAUAAUGACGGUACUUGAGGAGGAAGCCCGGCUAACUACGUG